AUUGAACGCUGGCGGCAGGCCUAACACAUGCAAGUCGAGCGGGUGAAGGGAGCUUGCUCCUUGUUUCAGCGGCGGACGGGUGUGUAAUGCCUAGGAAUCUGCCUGGUAGUGGGGGAUAACGUCCCGAAACGGGCGCUAAUACCGCAUACGUCCUGAGGGAGAAAGUGGGGGAUCUUCGGACCUCACGCUAUCAUACGAGCCUAGGUCGGAUUAGCUAGUUGGUGGGGUAAAGUCCUACCAAGGCGACGAUCCGUAACUGGUCUGAGAGGAUGAUCAGUCACACCCGAACUGAGCCACGGUACACACUCCUACGGGAGGCAGCAGUGGGGAAUAUUGGACAAUGGGCGAAAGCCUGCUCCAGCCCUGCCGCGUGUGUGAAGAAGGUCUUCGGAUUGUAAAGCACUUUAAGUUGGGAGGAAGCGCAGUAAGUUAAUACCUUGCUGUUUUGACGUUACCACCAGAGUGAGCACAGGCUAACCUCGUG
Molecule: ribosomal RNA, 484 nt
Filed under: uncultured bacterium
Lineage: Bacteria
Description: partial 16S ribosomal RNA
Rfam family: Bacterial small subunit ribosomal RNA
Source: RNAcentral